This is a long non-coding RNA of Cyprinus carpio (common carp), 571 nucleotides long. RefSeq lists it as uncharacterized. The record is from RefSeq and is a predicted model, not a curated record. The transcript is spliced from 5 exons. Lineage: Eukaryota; Metazoa; Chordata; Actinopteri; Cypriniformes; Cyprinidae.
CUCGCUGUAUAAAAGAACGCGUCACGUGCUCGUCUUCCUCCUUCGACCCGCUCUCUCAGAGGAUGGAGGUGUCUGUGGAAACGAGUCUCGGCUCAGCGCGAGGUUGCGCCGCAGUCUUUACUGGAGAGGUCACAUGAUGCAAGAAGAGUUGAAUAUGAACAUGUCCCGUCAUCAAAAUACUCCCUGAGGCGGUCCGAGGGAGCCUUCUGUAACAGAUGGCGCAGUGCUGCCGGUGAGGAGACGCCGUCGCUGUGGCUCAGUGCACUGGUGCUGAUGGCCUGUGGGACGGCUGGAGCAAGUGCAGGUAUGAUGCUGUCCGCUCUCAAUAUAAUAUAGUGACUCCUGAUCAAGGAUGACAGAUUUCUGAUGGUGACUGCUGGAUGAAACUUGCGGAUAUGGGACUGAGAUCAGUGUUUGUCAGUUUGAGGCAGUGUCUGUGCUGUCUGUUGUGGCUCAUGGUGUCUUUUUUUUUUUUUUUUUUUUUUUUUUAAGGUUUCCAGUGGCUCCUGCCAAGCAAGUAGAAGUUGGAGUCGUGCAAAAAAAUCCUAAUAAAGUGUGGCUAGGUCUAACA